Long non-coding RNA from Oncorhynchus keta (chum salmon), 677 nucleotides. RefSeq lists it as uncharacterized. The transcript is spliced from 5 exons. NCBI's taxonomy places the organism in Eukaryota, Metazoa, Chordata, Actinopteri, Salmoniformes, Salmonidae. The record is from RefSeq and is a predicted model, not a curated record.
GCAUCGAUGCUGGGAGGAGGAGGAGGGAAGGUAUUAGGUUAUAAGGCAGGUUGAUAAACAACUGGUUUGGGAUGGCAUCGAUGCUGGGAGGAGGAGGGUCGGUAUUAGGUUAUAAGGCAGGUUGAUAAACAACUGGUUAGGGAUGGCAUCGAUGCUGGGAGGAGGAGGAGGAGGGUCGGUAUUAGGUUAGGAGGAGGAGGAGGAGGGUCGGUAUUAGGUUAGGAGGAGGAGGAGGAGGGUCGGUAUUAGGUUAGGAGGAGGAGGAGGAGGGUCGGUAUUAGGUUAGGAGGAGGAGGAGGAGGGUCGGUAUUAGGUUAGGAGGAGGAGGAGGAGGGUCGGUAUUAGGUUAGGAGGAGGAGGAGGAGGGUCGGUAUUAGGUUAGGAGGAGGAGGAGGAGGGUCGGUAUUAGGUUAGGAGGAGGAGGAGGAGGGUCGGUAUUAGGUUAGGAGGAGGAGGAGGAGGGUCGGUAUUAGGUUAGGAGGAGGAGGAGGAGGGUCGGUAUUAGGUUAGGAGGAGGAGGAGGAGGGUCGGUAUUAGGUUAGGAGGAGGAGGAGGAGGGUCGGUAUUAGGUUAGGAGGAGGAGGAGGAGGGUCGGUAUUAGGUUAGGAGGAGGAGGAGGAGGGUCGGUAUUAGGUUAGGAGGAGGAGGAGGAGGGUCGGUAUUAGGUUAGGAGGAGG